RNAcentral lists this ribosomal RNA (490 nucleotides) under uncultured bacterium. RNAcentral's name for it is "partial 16S ribosomal RNA". It matches the Rfam family "Bacterial small subunit ribosomal RNA", at positions 28 to 507 of the family's 1533-position model. The record is from RNAcentral.
GAUGAACGCUAGCUACAGGCUUAACACAUGCAAGUCGAGGGGCAGCAUGGUCUUAGCUUGCUAAGGCCGAUGGCGACCGGCGCACGGGUGAGUAGCACGUAUCCAACCUGCCGUCUACUCUUGGACAGCCUUCUGAAAGGAAGAUUAAUACAAGAUGGCAUCAUGAGUCCGCAUGUUCACAUGAUUAAAGGUAUUCCGGUAGACGAUGGGGAUGCGUUCCAUUAGAUAGUAGGCGGGGUAACGGCCCACCUAGUCUUCGAUGGAUAGGGGUUCUGAGAGGAAGGUCCCCCACAUUGGAACUGAGACACGGUCCAAACUCCUACGGGAGGCAGCAGUGAGGAAUAUUGGUCAAUGGGCGCAGGCCUGAACCAGCCAAGUAGCGUGAAGGAUGACUGCCCUAUGGGUUGUAAACUUCUUUUAUAAAGGAAUAAAGUCGGGUAUGUAUACCCGUUUGCAUGUACUUGAUGAAUAAGGAUCGGCUAACUCCGUG